Molecule: transfer RNA, 72 nt
Filed under: Streptococcus pneumoniae
Lineage: Bacteria; Bacillati; Bacillota; Bacilli; Lactobacillales; Streptococcaceae
Description: tRNA-Glu
Rfam family: tRNA
About the family: Transfer RNA (tRNA) molecules are approximately 80 nucleotides in length. Their secondary structure includes four short double-helical elements and three loops (D, anti-codon, and T loops).
Source: RNAcentral
GGUCCGUUGGUCAAGGGGUUAAGACACCGCCUUUUCACUGCGGUAACACGGGUUCGAAUCCCUUACGGACUA